AAUAAAAGUACAACACCAUAAUUUCUGCUAAUCAAUUUCCUUUUGAUCAUAGGUUACUAAUAAAAAAGCACCCUCAUUGCCAUCUCUGGUACGUUUUCCAAUCAAUCUCUGGAGAUAUUCAACUAUAUAAACCUCAAAAGGAGUUAUCUUCCAAUUUCCAAAGAGGACAUAUUGAGAAAAUAACCAGCAUCCAUCUUAGGGUGCAGUGACUGCGAAAUGGAAGUGUAUAAGUCUUUUAAAAGGAUACUUUGUUUAGUGGGCGCACUGUGCAACAUACGACGAUACGUUUUUAAUCUGAUUUACCGGGAAUUGGAGUCUUCGAGAUUUUCCCUACCUUCAUGGCGUGCUUACAAAAAAGUAACAAGCUUGCAUGGUAGAGAUUUGCGUGAAUGAGUAAUUACUUAUCAUAUAUUGGUUACUAAGCUUCUCAGAUUUUCCUUUAUGAAGCAUGAAUCUAUCCCACGGUGAUGGAUUACGUCUACAACAGUUGAGUGCCUUGGUUGCAAAUUCAAUUCAUGCAACUUUUUUUCUUUCGUUCUGUUUUCCUGGUUCAGGAUACACAACAAAUGUGCAACCAAAAUUGUGUAAACCCUGUCAUUAUUACAUUGUGUACAACAGUUGUUGCUUUGGACGUAAGUGUAAUUUCAUGUAACUCUUUUUCUUUCA
Molecule: long non-coding RNA, 666 nt
Organism: Papaver somniferum (opium poppy)
Lineage: Eukaryota; Viridiplantae; Streptophyta; Magnoliopsida; Ranunculales; Papaveraceae
Exons: 5
Source: RefSeq, a predicted model, not a curated record